RNAcentral lists this non-coding RNA (183 nucleotides) under Sporomusa malonica. The record is from RNAcentral. Lineage: Bacteria; Bacillati; Bacillota; Negativicutes; Selenomonadales; Sporomusaceae.
ACUGAAUAUUUCGAGAUAGGUGCCCUAAGGGGCUUAAUAGGGAAGUCCGGUUAAAUGCCGGCGCGGUCCCGCCACUGUAACGGGGAGCAAGCUUAAGAUAUGCCACUGGGAUGAUAAGUCUUGGGAAGGUUUAAGCAAGCAAAGAUCCGGAGUCAGGAGAACUGCCUGUCUGACAAUCACCGU